This 491-nucleotide ribosomal RNA is filed under the name uncultured bacterium. Its description in RNAcentral is "partial 16S ribosomal RNA". It matches the Rfam family "Bacterial small subunit ribosomal RNA", at positions 29 to 507 of the family's 1533-position model. The record is from RNAcentral.
GUGAACGCUGGCGGUAGGCCUAACACAUGCAAGUCGAACGGCAGCACAGUAAGAGCUUGCUCUUACGGGUGGCGAGUGGCGGACGGGUGAGGAAUACAUCGGAAUCUACUUUUUCGUGGGGGAUAACGUAGGGAAACUUACGCUAAUACCGCAUACGACCUACGGGUGAAAGCAGGGGAUCUUCGGACCUUGCGCGAUUGCAUGAGCCGAUGUCGGAUUAGCUCGUUGGCGGGGUAAAGGCCCACCAAGGCGACGAUCCGUAGCUGGUCUGCGAGGAUGAUCAGCCACACUGGAACUGAGACACGGUCCAGACUCCUACGGGAGGCAGCAGUGGGGAAUAUUGGACAAUGGGCGCAAGCCUGAUCCAGCCAUACCGCGUGGGUGAAGAAGGCCUUCGGGUUGUAAAGCCCUUUUGUUGGGAAAGAAAAGCAGCAGGUUAAUACCCCGCUGUUCUGACGGUACCCAAAGAAUAAGCACCGGCUAACUUCGUG